Molecule: transfer RNA, 84 nt
Filed under: Bacteroidia bacterium
Lineage: Bacteria; Pseudomonadati; Bacteroidota; Bacteroidia
Also listed under: 1 other name
Description: tRNA-Leu
Source: RNAcentral
GCCCAAGUGGUGAAAUUGGUAGACACGCCAUCUUGAGGGGGUGGUGCUCGUAUGGGCUUAGGAGUUCGAGUCUCCUCUUGGGCA